Molecule: ribosomal RNA, 253 nt
Filed under: uncultured bacterium
Lineage: Bacteria
Description: partial 16S ribosomal RNA
Rfam family: Bacterial small subunit ribosomal RNA
Source: RNAcentral
GACAGAGGGUGCAAACGUUGUUCGGAUUUACUGGGCGUAAAGCGCGUGUAGGCGGCUUUGCAAGUCGGAUGUGAAAGCCCACGGCUCAACCGUGGAAGUGCAUCCGAGACUGCAUGGCUCGAGUCUCGGAGAGGAAGGUGGAAUGCUUGGUGUAGAGGUGAAAUUCGUAGAUAUCAAGCAGAACACCUGCGGCGAAGGCGGCCUUCUGGACGAUGACUGACGCUGAGACGCGAAAGCGUGGGGAGCAAACAGG